Molecule: ribosomal RNA, 398 nt
Filed under: uncultured bacterium
Lineage: Bacteria
Description: bacterial SSU rRNA
Rfam family: Bacterial small subunit ribosomal RNA
Source: RNAcentral
AUUGAACGCUGGCGGCAUGCCUUACACAUGCAAGUCGAACGGCAGCACGGGAGCAAUCCUGGUGGCGAGUGGCGAACGGGUGAGUAAUAUAUCGGAACGUGCCCGGUCGUGGGGAUAACGUAGCGAAAGCUACGCUAAUACCGCAUACGAUCUACGGAUGAAAGCGGGGGGAUCGCAAGACCUCGCGCGAUUGGAGCGGCCGAUAUCAGAUUAGGUAGUUGGUGAGGUAAAGGCUCACCAAGCCGACGAUCUGUAGCUGGUCUGAGAGGACGACCAGCCAACACUGGGACCUGAGACACGGCCCAGACUCCUACGGGAGGCAGCAGUGGGGAAUUUGGACAAUGGGCGCAAGCCUGAUCCAGCAAUGCCGCGUGCAGGAUGAAGGCCUCGGUUGUAAC